This 58-nucleotide ribosomal RNA is filed under the name Thanatephorus cucumeris. RNAcentral's name for it is "partial 18S ribosomal RNA". Lineage: Eukaryota; Fungi; Basidiomycota; Agaricomycetes; Cantharellales; Ceratobasidiaceae. The record is from RNAcentral.
AACAAGGUUUCCGUAGGUGAACCUGCGGAAGGAUCAUUAUUGAAUUUUAAUGAAGAGU